Molecule: ribosomal RNA, 305 nt
Filed under: uncultured bacterium
Lineage: Bacteria
Description: bacterial SSU rRNA
Rfam family: Bacterial small subunit ribosomal RNA
Source: RNAcentral
GCCCUCCUACGGGAGGCAGCAGUGAGGAAUAUUGGUCAAUGGCCGAGAGGCUGAACCAGCCAAGCCGCGUGAGGGAAGACGGCCCUAUGGGUUGUAAACCUCUUUUGUCGGAGAACAAAACCCGGGACGUGUCCCGGACUGCGUGUAUCCGAAGAAAAAGCAUCGGCUAACUCCGUGCCAGCAGCCGCGGUAAUACGGAGGAUGCGAGCGUUAUCCGGAUUUGUUGGGUUUAAAGGGUGCGCAGGCGGCUUUUUAAGUCAGCGGUCAAAUCGUGGGGCUCAACCCCAUCCAGCCGUUGAAACUGG